This 829-nucleotide ribosomal RNA is filed under the name uncultured Flavobacteriales bacterium. RNAcentral describes it as "bacterial SSU rRNA". It matches the Rfam family "Bacterial small subunit ribosomal RNA", at positions 58 to 877 of the family's 1533-position model. The record is from RNAcentral. Lineage: Bacteria; Pseudomonadati; Bacteroidota; Flavobacteriia; Flavobacteriales.
CAAGUCGUGGGGCAGCAUGUCCCGUAGCAAUACGGGAUGAUGGCGACCGGCAAACGGGUGCGGAACACGUACACAACCUUCCUUUUAGUGGGGAAUAGCCCGGGGAAACCCGGAUUAAUACCCCGUAAUAUAAUAGAGUGGCAUCACUUUAUUAUUAUAGCAGCAAUGCGCUUAAAGAUGGGUGUGCGACUGAUUAGGCAGUUGGCGGGGUAACGGCCCACCAAACCUACGAUCAGUAACUGGUGUGAGAGCACGACCAGUCACACGGGCACUGAGACACGGGCCCGAGUCCUACGGGAGGCAGCAGUAAGGAAUAUUGGUCAAUGGACGCAAGUCUGAACCAGCCAUGCCGCGUGGAGGAUGAAGGUCCUCUGGAUUGUAAACUUCUUUUAUCUGGGAAGAAAUCCACGAAUUCUUUUGUGGUUGACGGUACCAGAUGAAUAAGCACCGGCUAACUCCGUGCCAGCAGCCGCGGUAAUACGGAGGGUGCAAGCGUUAUCCGGAUUCACUGGGUUUAAAGGGUGCGUAGGUGGGCAGGUAAGUCAGUGGUGAAAUCUCCGGGCUUAACUCGGAAACUGCCAUUGAUACUAUCUGUCUUGAAUACCGUGGAGGUCAGCGGAAUAUGUCAUGUAGCGGUGAAAUGCUUAGAUAUGACAUAGAACACCAAUUGCGAAGGCAGCUGGCUACACGAAUAUUGACACUGAUGCAUGAAAGCGUGGGGAUCAAACAGGAUUAGAUACCCUGGUAGUCCACGCCCUAAACGAUGGAUACUCGACAUACGCGAUAUACUGUGUGUGUCUGAGCGAAAGCAUUAAGUAUCCCACCUGGG